Molecule: non-coding RNA, 279 nt
Organism: Paramuricea clavata
Lineage: Eukaryota; Metazoa; Cnidaria; Anthozoa; Malacalcyonacea; Plexauridae
Source: the annotation of a GenBank genome assembly
GUUUAGUUUUAUUGUGUUUUAUUGUUCGCGAAGCUAUGAUAAAACCUGUUCGUUACCGAACAUAUAAAUGACUUUAUCUUAAAAUUCUACAUGUUAAAAUCGUUCUUACAUUUCGCAGUAUAUAUAGCGAUUGGUAUAUUUUAAAACUGUUAGUUACAUAUUUGUGCAAGAUUUGGGAUCGUGACUAAAACACCAACAUACGAGUACAUACGAGUAACAUACGAGUACAUACGAGUAACACACGAGUAACACACAAGUACAUACGAGUACAUACGAGUA